GACGAACGCUGGCGGCGUGCCUAAUACAUGCAAGUAGAACGCUGAAGGAGGAGCUUGCUUCUCUGGAUGAGUUGCGAACGGGUGAGUAACGCGUAGGUAACCUGCCUGGUAGCGGGGGAUAACUAUUGGGAACGAUAGCUAAUACCGCAUAAGAGUAGAUGUUGCAUGACAUUUGCUUAAAAGGUGCAAUUGCAUCACUACCAGAUGGACCUGCGUUGUAUUAGCUAGUUGGUGGGGUAACGGCUCACCAAGGCGACGAUACAUAGCCGACCUGAGAGGGUGAUCGGCCACACUGGGACUGAGACACGGCCCAGACUCCUACGGGAGGCAGCAGUAGGGAAUCUUCGGCAAUGGACGGAAGUCUGACCGAGCAACGCCGCGUGAGUGAAGAAGGUUUUCGGAUCGUAAAGCUCUGUUGUAAGAGAAGAACGAGUGUGAGAGUGGAAAGUUCACACUGUGACGGUAUCUUACCAGAAAGGACGGCUAACUACGUG
RNAcentral lists this ribosomal RNA (494 nucleotides) under uncultured bacterium. Its description in RNAcentral is "partial 16S ribosomal RNA". It matches the Rfam family "Bacterial small subunit ribosomal RNA", at positions 28 to 507 of the family's 1533-position model. The record is from RNAcentral.